GGGGUUGUGGCUCAGCGGGAGAGCACUCAUCUAGCAUGUGUGAGGCCCUGGGUUCUACCCCAAGCACCACA
This 71-nucleotide transfer RNA is filed under the name Marmota monax (woodchuck). Its description in RNAcentral is "tRNA.Ala". The record is from RNAcentral. Lineage: Eukaryota; Metazoa; Chordata; Mammalia; Rodentia; Sciuridae.